RNAcentral lists this ribosomal RNA (407 nucleotides) under uncultured bacterium. RNAcentral describes it as "partial 16S ribosomal RNA". It matches the Rfam family "Bacterial small subunit ribosomal RNA", at positions 30 to 526 of the family's 1533-position model. The record is from RNAcentral.
AUUGAACGCUGGCGGCAGGCCUAACACAUGCAAGUCGAGCGGAACGGCGGACGGGUGAGUAAUGCCUAGGAAUCUGCCUGGUAGUGGGGGAUAACGACCGGAAAAGGGCGCUAAUAUCGCAUACUAUCAGAUGAGACUAGGUCGGAUUAGCUAGUUGGUGGGGUAAAGGCCUACCAAGGCGCCGAUCCGUAACUGGUCUGAGAGGAUGAUAAGUAACACUGGAACUGAGACACGGUCCAGACGCCGACGGGAGGCAGCAGUGGGGAAUAUGGGACAAUGGGCGAAAGCCUGAUCCAGCCAUGCCGGUGGUGUGAAGAAGGUCUGCGGAUUGUAAAGCACUUUAAGUUGGGAGGCGUUACCAACAGAAUAAGCACCGGCUAACUUCGUGCCAGCAGCCGCGGUAACUC